Non-coding RNA from Streptococcus phocae, 134 nucleotides. Lineage: Bacteria; Bacillati; Bacillota; Bacilli; Lactobacillales; Streptococcaceae. The record is from Rfam.
GUUUUUGAAAAAGACUGACCUAAGACAGCAGGGGAGCAUGCUCAUAAUAUUCCUGCCGAGGCACAAAACGCAUAUUAAAAAUGACGUCUUUGUACUUUCGUGUCUAGGUUUAGGUACGAUUUUUUUGUGCCUAG